CCUACGGGAGGCAGCAGUGAGGAAUAUUGGUCAAUGGCCGUAAGGCUGAACCAGCCAAGUAGCGUGAGGGAAGACUGCCCUAUGGGUUGUAAACCUCUUUUGUCGGGGAGCAAAAGACGCCACGUGUGGCGUUCCGAGAGUACCCGAAGAAAAAGCAUCGGCUAACUCCGUGCCAGCAGCCGCGGUAAUACGGAGGAUGCGAGCGUUCUCCGGAUUUAUUGGGUUUAAAGGGUGCGCAGGCGGAAGAUCAAGUCAGCGGUAAAAUUGAGGGGCUCAACCUCUUCGAGCCGUUGAAACUGGGUUUCUUGAGUGAGCGAGAAGUAUGCGGAAUGCGUGGUGUAGCGGUGAAAUGCAUAGAUAUCACGCAGAACUCCGAUUGCGAAGGCAGCAUACCGGCGCUCAACUGACGCUCAUGCACGAAAGUGUGGGUAUCGAACAGGAUUAGAUACCCUGGUAGUC
This 459-nucleotide ribosomal RNA is filed under the name uncultured bacterium. Its description in RNAcentral is "partial 16S ribosomal RNA". It matches the Rfam family "Bacterial small subunit ribosomal RNA", at positions 338 to 795 of the family's 1533-position model. The record is from RNAcentral.